Molecule: ribosomal RNA, 440 nt
Filed under: uncultured bacterium
Lineage: Bacteria
Description: partial 16S ribosomal RNA
Rfam family: Bacterial small subunit ribosomal RNA
Source: RNAcentral
CCUACGGGGGGCAGCAGUGGGGAAUAUUGCACAAUGGGGGAAACCCUGAUGCAGCGACGCCGCGUGAAGGAAGAAGUAUUUCGGUAUGUAAACUUCUAUCAGCAGGGAAGAAAAUGACGGUACCUGACUAAGAAGCCCCGGCUAACUACGUGCCAGCAGCCGCGGUAAUACGUCGGGGGCAAGCGUUAUCCGGAUUUACUGGGUGUAAAGGGAGCGUAGGCGGCGAUGCAAGUCAGAAGUGAAAGCCCGGGGCUCAACUCCGGGACUGCUUUUGAAACUGUAUGGCUAGAUUGCAGGAGAGGCAAGUGGAAUGCCUAGUGUAGCGGUGAAAUGCGUAGAUAUUAGGAGGAACACCAGUGGCGAAGGCGGCUUACUGGACUGUAACUGACGUUGAGGCUCGAAAGCGUGGGGAGCAAACAGGAUUAGAUACCCGAGUAGUC